This 206-nucleotide unclassified non-coding RNA is filed under the name Hevea brasiliensis (rubber tree). Lineage: Eukaryota; Viridiplantae; Streptophyta; Magnoliopsida; Malpighiales; Euphorbiaceae. The record is from RNAcentral.
GGAGGGGAAUCUUCAAUGAGAUUACUCAACCAAUGAAUAUGAAAGAUAUCUGCAUUCCAUAACAGUGGCUCCUUAUCCAGAAAUCGAUCAACAACAUAGAGUUCACCGCCACAUUCAACCAAAUGCUUCUGAUUACCAAAACCACACAAUGGAGGAGAAAACUGUAUCAGUUUCAUUGAUGAAUCAAUCCAGAAAACUGUUCCCCA